Molecule: long non-coding RNA, 520 nt
Filed under: Phoenix dactylifera (date palm)
Lineage: Eukaryota; Viridiplantae; Streptophyta; Magnoliopsida; Arecales; Arecaceae
Description: long non-coding RNA (PDAC_LNC007488)
Source: RNAcentral
AAGCUUGGGUAGAGGUGUGGGCUGGCCUAUUUCCUGCCCUAGCCACAUGCUAAACUUAAAAGCUGCUUGGGAGGCUAUACGCAAAGCUUGCAAGACUUAUGAGGCAAAGAGUCUCAAACCAGAAGGUUCUCCCUUAAUGUACUUGGAUUAAGAAGUGGACUAGUGCAGACAAUGACACCCCCCCAACCUUAGAAACUCAUACCGACCAUAUCUUGCGCAAAUGAAAUUAACCAUCUAAAUGUUAGCUAAUGCUAGAAUGAGAAGAGCUUUCAUUUACGCUAUGAAGGAUGCCUACUCCGAACACCUUAGUUGGCUGCUAGAUUCUCCACUAGUAAGGAUGAACAGCGCACGUCCCUGACAAGUUUGUGAGAGUGGACAAUCAUGCCACAGGUAUCGAUAACUAGAAAGGAGAUAGUGUGAAGGGUCGGUAACGUGGAUCUUAGUGCCUUGAUCUUCAAGGACUUUCACUACUAUGAUGUUGCCCGCUCAAAAGAGGAGGAGGUAGAUUAUAAUCGGGGCU